CGGAUGUAGCCAAGUGGAUCAAGGCAGUGGAUUGUGAACCCACCAUGCGCG
Molecule: transfer RNA, 51 nt
Filed under: Escallonia virgata
Lineage: Eukaryota; Viridiplantae; Streptophyta; Magnoliopsida; Escalloniales; Escalloniaceae
Description: partial tRNA-His
Source: RNAcentral